UCGCAUCGAUGAAGAACGCAGCGAAAUGCGAUAAGUAAUGUGAAUUGCAGAAUUCAGUGAAUCAUCGAAUCUUUGAACGCACCUUGCGCUCCUUGGUAUUCCGAGGAGCAUGCCUGUUUGAGUGUCAUUAAAUUCUCAAUCCUUUCUGGGUUUACUCUCAGUUGGGCUUGGAUAUGGGGGUUUUGCUGGCUUUGCAUAAAACAAAGUCAGCUCUCCUGAAAGAUAUUAGCAAGACUUGUUGUUGCAACCCUCUAUCUGGUGUGAUAAUUAUCUACAUCAUAGAUUUGUACACCUAUAUGUCUGGCUUCUAACAGUCCAUUAAAUUGGACAAAACUCUGACAAUUUGACCUCAAAUCAGGUAGGACUACCCGCUGAACUUAAGCAUAUCAAUAAGCGGAGGAAAAGAAACUAACAAGGAUUCCCCUAGUAACUGCGAGUGAAGCGGGAAAA
RNAcentral lists this ribosomal RNA (450 nucleotides) under Melanoleuca malenconii. Its description in RNAcentral is "eukaryotic LSU rRNA". The stretch from base 1 to 127 matches the Rfam family "5.8S ribosomal RNA", at positions 28 to 154 of the family's 154-position model. Lineage: Eukaryota; Fungi; Basidiomycota; Agaricomycetes; Agaricales; Pluteaceae. The record is from RNAcentral.